UAUGGACUACUUUGAUCCCAUCAAUUUUCUCUAAUCUUCAAUGAUAGCAUGUUUUCUGAAAGGAAAUCGGCUGGUAUUUUAGGUACUUUAGGGAAGUUAUUUUUUGAUUUUCCCUGGAGUAUCCUCUAAAGUUGUGAAAAAAUGGGAAAUUAGGUACAAUAUUAUUUAAGUAAAUGUUUAAUGCGUGGGUAAUUAUUUUACCAUAAUAUGACAUAUUAUUAUAUAUUAUAUAUUGUUGACAAAGCAACACUAUCAACUGAAUUCAGCUCAGAAUUGUUUUUUCUUUACCAAUGGUUUAUAGUUGCUUACAGAUAUACAUUAAAUUUCCUCUCUACUACUUU
Cinara cedri is the source of this 341-nucleotide non-coding RNA. The record is from the annotation of a GenBank genome assembly. Lineage: Eukaryota; Metazoa; Arthropoda; Insecta; Hemiptera; Aphididae.